AUUGAACGCUGGCGGAAUGCUUUACACAUGCAAGUCGAACGGCAGCACGGACUUCGGUCUGGUGGCGAGUGGCGAACGGGUGAGUAAUGUAUCGGAACGUGCCCAGUCGUGGGGGAUAACGUAGUGAAAAUUACGCUAAUACCGCAUACGAUCUAUGGAUGAAAGCGGGGGAUCGCAAGACCUCGCGCGAUUGGAGCGGCCGAUAUCAGAUUAGGUAGUUGGUGGGGUAAAGGCCCACCAACCCAACGAUCUGGAGCUGGUCUGAGAGGACGACCAGCCCAACUGGAACUGAGACACGGUCCAGACUCCUACGGGAGGCAGCAGUGGGGAAUUUUGGACAAUGGGCGAAAGCCUGAUCCAGCCAUUCCGCGUGCAGGAUGAAGGCCCUCGGGUUGUAAACUGCUUUUGUACAGAACGAAAAGGUUUCUACUAGUACUAGGAGCUCAUGACGGUACUGUAAGAAUAAGCACCGGCUAACUACGUGCCAGCAGCCGCCGUAA
Molecule: ribosomal RNA, 500 nt
Filed under: uncultured bacterium
Lineage: Bacteria
Description: partial 16S ribosomal RNA
Rfam family: Bacterial small subunit ribosomal RNA
Source: RNAcentral